This 432-nucleotide ribosomal RNA is filed under the name uncultured bacterium. RNAcentral's name for it is "partial 16S ribosomal RNA". It matches the Rfam family "Bacterial small subunit ribosomal RNA", at positions 29 to 507 of the family's 1533-position model. The record is from RNAcentral.
AACGAACGCUGGCGGCAUGCCUAACACAUGCAAGUCGAACGAGACCUUCGGGUCUAGUGGCGCACGGGCGCGUAACGCGUGGGAACCUGCCCUUAGGUUCGGAAUAACUCCCCGAAAGGGGUGCUAAUACCGGAUAAUGUCUUCGGACCAAAGAUUUAUCGCCUUUGGAUGGGCCCGCGUUGGAUUAGCUAGUUGGUAGGGUAAAAGCCUACCAAGGCGACGAUCCAUAGCUGGUCUGAGAGGAUGAUCAGCCACACUGGGACUGAGACACGGCCCAGACUCCUACGGGAGGCAGCAGUGGGGAAUAUUGGACAAUGGCGAAAGCCUGAUCCAGCAAUGCCGCGUGAGUGAUGAAGGCCUUAGGGUUGUAAAGCUCUUUUACCCGGGAUGAUAAUGACAGUACCGGGAGAAUAAGCUCCGGCUAACUCCGUG